AUUGAACGCUGGCGGCAGGCCUAACACAUGCAAGUCGAGCGGAUGAAGGGAGCUUGCUCCUGGAUUCAGCGGCGGACGGGUGAGUAAUGCCUAGGAAUCUGCCUGGUAGUGGGGGAUAACGUCCGGAAACGGGCGCUAAUACCGCAUACGUCCUGAGGGAGAAAGUGGGGGAUCUUCGGACCUCACGCUAUCAGAUGAGCCUAGGUCGGAUUAGCUAGUUGGUGGGGUAAAGGCCUACCAAGGCGACGAUCCGCAACUGGUCUGAGAGGAUGAUCAGUCACACUGGAACUGAGACACGGUCCAGACUCCUACGGGAGGCAGCAGUGGGGAAUAUUGGACAAUGGGCGAAAGCCUGAUCCAGCCAUGCCGCGUGUGUGAAGAAGGUCUUCGGAUUGUAAAGCACUUUAAGUUGGGGGGAAGGGCAGUAAGUUAAUACCUUGCUGUUUUGACGUUACCAACAGAAUAAGCACCGGCUAACUUCGU
RNAcentral lists this ribosomal RNA (483 nucleotides) under uncultured bacterium. RNAcentral describes it as "partial 16S ribosomal RNA". It matches the Rfam family "Bacterial small subunit ribosomal RNA", at positions 30 to 506 of the family's 1533-position model. The record is from RNAcentral.